AUGUUACUGCUACCACAAAGGGAAAUUCAUGUGGGGGUGGACAUCUCCAGAGACCUCACUCACCUGUGAUUUGGGGGAUAAUAGCAUCACUCAUGUGUUCACGUGCCAGGCCUGUCACCCCGGAACAUUAGUCAAAGGGCUGUGUUGACAGUGAUUUCAACUCUUGAAUUAUACGAAGGACCUGGCCGCAAGAAGGCAUUGAGCCCCGAGGAGGACAACAGGCCUCAGCUCUUGGCACCAAGUAACUAUGAAGACUCUGAGAACUGGACCAUCCCAAGGCUGUAGCU
Molecule: long non-coding RNA, 287 nt
Filed under: Homo sapiens (human)
Lineage: Eukaryota; Metazoa; Chordata; Mammalia; Primates; Hominidae
Description: non-protein coding lnc-ZFP36L1-2:2
Source: RNAcentral